This is a non-coding RNA of Amborella trichopoda, 4972 nucleotides long. NCBI's taxonomy places the organism in Eukaryota, Viridiplantae, Streptophyta, Magnoliopsida, Amborellales, Amborellaceae. The record is from RefSeq and is a predicted model, not a curated record.
CGUAGGAGGGAGAAGAGGUUUUAUUCCUAAAACCAUCUAGGACUAUGAUGAUGGCCCAUACUGUAGCUAAACCAGCUAGGAAUGCAACACACAGCGUCGGAAUCUACACUGUCCAGAUUGUGCACUCCCAGCCCUCCGAUUGCACAUCCCCUCCAAAACCACUUAUGAUAGUUGAGAAGGGCGAUUCUCUUCCUCUAUGGCUACCUCCUUUCUCACGUGGCUUCUCAAGGCCGCUGCACCUCAGGACAUUUCUCUCGCCUCUUACAAUUUUUCAUUUCCUUCCUCAUAUUUUUUUAAGCCAGUUCUGGCCGAGCUCAAAUAGUUGGGAUAAGGCUCGAAGUCCUCUCACUCCAGGCUUCUCCACAGCUCUACACCAUCGCCCGCUUUGAUGCCACAGGCGAGAUCGACUCGGUGGUUGCAGUUACUGAGUGGCUCUGCACUGGCUUACCCAAAGCCCUCCCGAAUAGCAUAGCUGGAGACCUCACCAAGCUUUCCAUAGCGGGACACAGCCGCGGUGGCAAGAUCGCCUUUGCCCUAGCCCUGGACCUUAAGACCCUCACAUACUCUGCUCUCCUCACCAUAGACCCAGUCGAGGGCACAUCGCCACAUAUCCUUACGAAUAUGCAUAAUUCUCUUAGCACUGGCAUGCCAGUGUUGGUGGUGGGCUCGGGUCUUGGCCAGGUAAAGAAAUGCUUGAUAUGCCUGGCCUGUGCACCGGUCGGUUCUAAUCGCACAGAUUUCUUUGAAGAGUGCCAGUCUCCUGCUUGCUACUUUUUGCCGUCGGAUUAUGGUCACAUCGAUAUGUUCAAUGAUGAGACAGAGGGCGGGCGCAAUCCGGUCGUUUACAGUUUCUUUGUGCAAGAAUGGAGCGAGCCGUGAGCCCAUGCAUGGAUGGGGCAAUGGUGGUGUUUGCCUGGGGCUAUAUCCAAGGGCAUCCUGAGGAUACCCCGAUUCCUCGUCUCCUGUGAAGCUAUAAAUAGCUAAAACCAAGUAGAAGUUAUCUUUUUCUUCUUCUUUGUUUAUCUUUUAUUUUUCAAAAUUUCAAAUAUUUUCAGUAGAUCAAGUAUUAUAUUUAUCACAAAAUAAAAAUAAACACUGUGGCGGAAUGCGACCUUAGGAGGUAGUGUUGCAAUAGUCAACUCCUUAACCAUCAAGCCUUGUUCCCCGUUAUUCGUUUGAUUAAACAUGGCUAGUUUUAUUCUUUCAAUUUGCGACCCCAUGAGUAAUGUUGCUGCAUUUAUUUUUGUUUGGAAUGGUAUUGUGUUUGCAGGCAGUGGACACUUCAAAGGUGUACAAGCAUGUUUUUAUGGAUCAGAUUGAACCAACCUUAUCAAAAGGCCAAAAAUAAAUUUUAUUUUUUAUUUAAGACUGAUUUUUUAUUUAAAAUACUUUUUUUAUUAUCUGAGUGAAAACAAACUUACACCCAAAAAAUACGUAUAAAUAUUUUAUUUCAAUAAAUAAUAUGAAAUAAAAUUUGAAAUUAAGUUUGGAAAAUGGUUUGAAAGGGCUGCAGCCCUAUCUCACCUAAAAACUAUUGCUGUAAUCGAUUACAGAAACUAAUGCUUUCUUCCUAGUAUCAUCAGGUUUUAUACAUCUGUUGCGUUAUUUUCCUUUAGGAACUUGAGGUCACCAUGAAUUUGAGAAUAUGGAAUCCAUGUUUUGAUUUACUGAUUGUGUUUGAAUCUCGUUUUGAGAUGAUUUUUUUCGUAGGUCCUAGGAUGGUAAAGUUGUUUGCAAACAAGGAGGACAUGGGUUUUAGUAAUGUUAAAUGACUACCCAGCCUGCGACUCCGUAGUGUUGACCCCAGCUCAUCUCAAGGAGUACAAAGCCUUAUUGAUUUCGGUUUGCGUUCAGCUUGACUAUUUUUAUUGAGGACAACCAAUCUGGAGCUGAUCUCACCAAGGUUCAAAAGAUUGCACUCUUUGGAACAACACAUGGUGCUGUAUGCAAAACUCCAGCUGUUUGUGGGCUAUACAAGAAAGGGAAAUAGAGCAUGCUUCAAGUCACUCUUUCUGAUCCACAAAAAUAACUGAAACCAGGAGCUCAAAAAGGUGCCAAAAUGGUUCCCGUUAUGCCUCGAGUCGCUCCUUCUUUAGCGAUAUCGUCGGCUGCUGCAUUGGCCUUGCACCAGGUAUGCCUCCAUUAGACGUGCAUAACCCUGCAAAUAUGGAAUAUCUCGUCAAAAAUGUAUGCUAGUCUCAAAGGGAAAGGCCGAUAAUCCUAAGGCCCAGGUGAUGAUGGUUUUGGAGUCUCCCCCUCAAUGACCAAAAAAGUGCUCCAUUUAGGAUCGAAAUUUCUGAGACCCUCUAGAAUGGCUAGGGCCUCGGCGGUGUUGAAGUGAGCAUGACCAAUGAACUUAGAGAAAGAUGCCCCUAUCCCUUGUGUCCAUCCAUCAUGAUCUCAAAAGAUGCCCUCUAUUCCUUGUGGGCCAGGGUUGCCAAGAGAGCAGCCAUCAAAGUUUAGUUUAGUCUGACCAGAUUCGGGGGGUCUCCAUAGUGAAGCACAGGGAACGUGCAUGGGCCGUAAGAAUAGCAUGGCCUACCAAUUUUUGUGGAAGCCCAUGAAGAAGUAGUGUUUGAAAUAAUUGUGGCUUUUGGCCCCGAAAAUUAUGAACCCCCUUUGACCUGGUCUGUCAACGCGUCCAGCAUAGCCUUUUCUCCCCGAAAUAUCCUGUUGAAUCAGCUGGUUGGGCUGCUAAUGGUUUGGUUCGAGGAGUGGGACCUGUUUCCAUCCUCCUUGACAGUCUUCUCUGAGGAGGCAGAGUGGGCAUGUAGGGGCUAAACCACAUGCCUUCUGUAUAUAGGUCUAAUGGACCUUUUGUAUACUCGAACAAUAUCCCUCAGACUGUCCUUUGAAGGAACCAAAUUGGGGUGCAGGGAUUUAUUUUCAUGAGUUGCUAUAUUCCUGUGCUUAGUUGAUGGUGACUCCUUUAAGGUACGAGUAUGAUACAUUUCCAUUUGCCAAGUUCAACAGUUUGGUGAACUUUACAAAUUUUGUAAAAACCUAGGAAAAAAUGUAGGGCAUUCAGCCCUAGUUGAUCGCCAUCUCAAACUAGAUGCCUAGAAGUUAAAUAAAUACCAAUUAUCUGACAAAACAACACUCAUAUACAUUCAACAGUUUAUUUACAAAAAACUCUGUCAAGUUUUUUCUUCGUGGAAAUGAGUUUUUAAUCACUAUAUGUGUGUGCGUGCUUGUAAAUAUAAUGUAUACACUCUUAUGGAGAGAAGAUGAGAGCUAUUUAUCAGAAAAGAAGAAGAAAAAAGUGAGAUGUUAAGUAUGACAAGUAUAUUUUUGUAAUAUGUACGUAGUAUUGCAAAUCCCCAUCGCGUCAAUGUAUUGUUUCUGCUUGUAAAUUGUCUUGUUUAUAAACUAAAGCAUUCAACACUUGAGGUUUAGAAUGUACCCAUACACGUAAGUGUGCUUGAAAACAGGUCUUAAAUAGUGCAUUUAUUCAUAUUUACUUGGGCCUUUUACCUGUUUGGCAUCAAGACUUGUUGCUUCAGCUAGUUCUUCUUGUUCUAACUGAAGCUAUUAGUUGUUUGGCCUCAAUACACUUGGGGAGCUGCCAUUAAUUUUUCUUGUUCCAUGAUCUCUCUCUUUUUGCCGCCCAUGAUAUCAUUCCUUUAGAUGGCUGUACUCAUGGAUCUCUCCAAAAGCAUUUUGUUUUUACUCAUAAACCAUGAAGUAAUAAAUUCCCAUUGAAUAACUGAGAUUGUUGCUCCGAUAUUCAACCAUACAAAGGAUCCAACAAUACUGCUUUUGGACACCAGAGGGAUCAAGAUUUUGUUCAGGAAGCGUACUUGGCUUAUGGGUGGUCUUAUCAUUUAUUGCAGUGAGAGUUCCUGUGGGCUUCCUUGUCAAUUUUCUUCAUUGUGAAGUAUCCUUUUAAGUUCUAUGUUCCAAACAGCUUGUAAAAGGACAUAGGAGAUCCUUGUACAAUUCCUUAGUUUGUGGGAUCAGUUUCCCCGCGGGCAAUAAAAAGAAUUAUAAAGUGAAGUGGAUUUGGUUUUCCACUAUUCCGUGAUCAUCUCUUUACUGAUCAGAUUGCAAUGAGUUGUGAACAUGCAAAUAGCUCUCUGCAAAGACAGUGUCCGGUUCUCCAAAUAUAUUUGUCAAGUAUUUCACUACACAUUCAGCUUUUUGUUUAACUAAUUUCUAAAAAUUAUUUCUCCCGGUGGAAUUUAUUCUUUUGCAUAGCACUGUAGUUGUAUGGUGGUCAGCAUAACCUUCUACCUACCUCGAAUCCUAUAGUUGUAUGGUGGUCAAAAAGGGGUUUCUUCUUUGUUCCAAAAAUACUAGAUUCUUUGCAGUUCUAACAGAAGCCAUCAAAGGCUGAGCCAUGGAAAAGCUAGGGGUUUCUUGCUCUUUGCUUCUAUCAAAAUCGUGCAUGAGGAUUUUCUUUAUUGAUUAAUCAUUUACUAAUAGGAAAUUUCUCUAUUCAUUUAACAAUUGUUUUCUCGAUUGUACUAAUUGUUUUUACAUUCCACAGUUAACUAUUUCAAAAAAUAUAUAUAUAUAUAUUUUUACAUUCCAGACAUUACAUCCUUCUAUUUUUCAUUCUGUCUUCUAUUGCUGGAACAUAGAUAUGUAACAUUGCUUUUCUGAUUGGUUUUUAUUUGGAUAUUGCCAAUCCUCUUCGCUUUGUUAAGCACUCACUUCCUCUUUGUCUUUCCAUUUUCGACCUUUCUAUCUUUGGAGUACCUUUGUGAAUCAUAGCUGGAUCAGUAAAAUAGCAUCUAGUCCACUGUGAUUUCCCAUUCUACCUUCACCUACAUUAUAAACUUACUCGAACCCCUGAAGUUUUUUAUAAAAUAUAAAGAGAUUGAGGAAGAUGUCACAAAUAGAACUAGAAUUAGGUAGGUGAAGUGGAGAUGUAUAACCAGAACUUUAUGUGAUUGCCACAUAUCAAUGAAAUAGAAAGGGAAGUUCUAUAAGACAGCUGUGAGGCUAGUUUUGCUUUAUGGGGCGGAAU